This is a long non-coding RNA of Sander lucioperca (pikeperch), 90 nucleotides long. RefSeq lists it as uncharacterized. NCBI's taxonomy places the organism in Eukaryota, Metazoa, Chordata, Actinopteri, Perciformes, Percidae. The transcript has 3 exons. The record is from RefSeq and is a predicted model, not a curated record.
GUGGCCCAUGUAGUUUCCUCUGGGAGACCCGAGUUGGACUCGGUUAACUUGUUCUUAUACUGCACUGUAAAUUUAAUUCUCGUCUUUUAU